RNAcentral lists this non-coding RNA (166 nucleotides) under Candidatus Omnitrophota bacterium. RNAcentral describes it as "Omnitrophica WOR MoCo sequence". It matches the Rfam family "Molybdenum/Tungsten riboswitch aptamer (Moco RNA motif)". Lineage: Bacteria; Pseudomonadati; Candidatus Omnitrophota. The record is from RNAcentral.
AGCUUUAAAAAGCUCCGAGUUUUGGAAGCCUAAGUCUUCUUUGAAGAAGAUAGGGCGCUAAAACCGGUUCGGGGCAUCAAGGAAACGAGAUGCCCUCCUCGUAACUGCCGGAAAAGGCAGGUCCCGUGAAUAUCGGGAUUUGGAAAGGAGCUAUCUGGAAGUUCGA